Bos taurus (domestic cattle) is the source of this 975-nucleotide long non-coding RNA. Lineage: Eukaryota; Metazoa; Chordata; Mammalia; Artiodactyla; Bovidae. The record is from Ensembl.
GGUGUCCCGCAUUGCAAGCAGAUUCAGUGGGGUCUGACUUAUGCUAAAUCUGCUCUCAAGAGAAGCACUAACAACUUGUAUUUUCCCACCGUUACCUGAAAGAUAUACCAAUUAUUGUUUUGUUUCUCUCAGGCGUUCUCUUACUGUGGCUCUGAGAGGUUUAUCCAUAGUGGGGGGAAAAUACAAAGAUUUAAUAGCCCUGAGCCUUAGUUUUUACAUCUGUAAAAUGGGGCUUCCAUACCAGCAAGGGAAGAGUUGCUGCUGCUGCUGCUGCUAACUCGCUUCAGUCGUAUCCGACUCUGUGCGACCCCAGAGACGGCAGCCCACCAGGCCCCGCCUUCCCUGGGAUUCUCCAGGCAAGAACACUGGAGUGGGUUGCCAUUUCCUCCUCCAAUACAUGAAAGUGAAAAGUGAAAGUGAAGUCGCUCAGUCGUGUCCAACUUUUAGCGAUUCCAUGGACUGCAGCCCACCAGGCUCCUCCGUUCAUGGGAUUUUCCAGGCAAGAGUACUGGAGUGGGGGAAGAGUAGGGAAGGAGAAAUGCAGUGGUCGAGGCAGACCCUGAGCUGGCCUUACCUUGGGUGUUUACCAGAAGAACUUCAGCUUUGGUCUCCUGUGGUCACUCCUGCAUCCCCAGGGCCAGGAAACAAGCCUGAUACACAGCAGUGCCUUCUAUUGCCCAAGGCUAUCUGGAAAUCUGAGGACAAGAGAGCUGAGUGAUGCAAGCCCAGAUCAACCUCCAAGGGCACAGAGGAGGACAGAGAAGACUGGAAACUGAUCUAGGGUUAUAGUGUCCAAUACAACCACCACUAGGCUCAUGCUUAUUUGAGUCCGAAUUGACAUGUACUAUAAAUGUAAACAUACUUUAAAAAUACUUCCUGGAUUUCAAAACCUUGGUAUUCAAAAAGAAGGUUACAUCACACAGCAUGUGGGAUCUUAGUUGCUUGACUAGGGAUUGAACCUGUACCCCCUGUAUC